RNAcentral lists this long non-coding RNA (277 nucleotides) under Elaeis guineensis (African oil palm). RNAcentral's name for it is "long non-coding RNA (EGUI_LNC027870)". The record is from RNAcentral. Lineage: Eukaryota; Viridiplantae; Streptophyta; Magnoliopsida; Arecales; Arecaceae.
AUGAUUGAUUAGCGAUUGUGAAUCAUUAUUGGAUCGAAUCGUCAAUAUGAUUGAUGAUUAAUCCAGUGGAAGAGUUGUAAUAAAAUAAUUCAUUAAGAGUUAGUGAGCUGUAGGAGGAUUAAUUAGCAAUUAGAUUGCUAAUUGACUCAAUUUGAUUGAGCAAUGGGGCUAGGGUCAAGUCUAAUUUGAUUGAAUUCAAUUUAGAUUGAUUUGGAUUUAAUUAGAUCAAGUCUCAUAAUCCAAUCUCAAGGGAGAUCAAUUUCUUAUUUAAUUAGGA